Molecule: ribosomal RNA, 497 nt
Filed under: uncultured bacterium
Lineage: Bacteria
Description: partial 16S ribosomal RNA
Rfam family: Bacterial small subunit ribosomal RNA
Source: RNAcentral
GAUGAACGCUGGCGGCGUGCCUAAUACAUGCAAGUCGAGCGAACAGACGAGGGGCUUGCCCCUCUGACGUUAGCGGCGGACGGGUGAGUAACACGUGGAUAACCUACCUAUAAGACUGGGAUAACUUCGGGAAACCGGAGCUAAUACCGGAUAAUAUAUUGAACCGCAUGGUUCAAUAGUGAAAGACGGUUUUGCUGUCACUUAUAGAUGGAUCCGCGCCGCAUUAGCUAGUUGGUAAGGUAACGGCUUACCAAGGCGACGAUGCGUAGCCGACCUGAGAGGGUGAUCGGCCACACUGGAACUGAGACACGGUCCAGACUCCUACGGGAGGCAGCAGUAGGGAAUCUUCCGCAAAGGGCGAAAGCCUGACGGAGCAACGCCGCGUGAGUGAUGAAGGUCUUCGGAUCGUAAAACUCUGUUAUUAGGGAAGAACAAAUGUGUAAGUAACUAUGCACGUCUUGACGGUACCUAAUCAGAAAGCCACGGCUAACUACGUG